RNAcentral lists this ribosomal RNA (253 nucleotides) under uncultured bacterium. RNAcentral's name for it is "partial 16S ribosomal RNA". It matches the Rfam family "Bacterial small subunit ribosomal RNA", at positions 524 to 776 of the family's 1533-position model. The record is from RNAcentral.
UACAGAGGUCUCCAGCGUUGUUCCGAUUCAUUGGGCGUAAAGGGUGCGUAGGCGGCGCGGUAAGUCGGGUGUGAAAUCUCGGAGCUUAACUCCGAAACUGCAUUCGAUACUGCCGUGCUUGAGGACUGGAGAGGAGACUGGAAUUUACGGUGUAGCGGUGAAAUGCGUAGAUAUCGUAAGGAAGACCAGUGGCGAAGGCGGGUCUCUGGACAGUUCCUGACGCUGAGGCACGAAGGUCAGGGGAGCAAACGGG